This 468-nucleotide ribosomal RNA is filed under the name uncultured bacterium. Its description in RNAcentral is "partial 16S ribosomal RNA". It matches the Rfam family "Bacterial small subunit ribosomal RNA", at positions 28 to 507 of the family's 1533-position model. The record is from RNAcentral.
GACGAACGCUGGCGGCGUGCUUAACACAUGCAAGUCGAACGGAAAGGCCCUGCUUUUGUGGGGUGCUCGAGUGGCGAACGGGUGAGUAACACGUGAGUAACCUGCCCUUGACUUUGGGAUAACUUCAGGAAGCUGGGGCUAAUACCGGAUAGGAGCUCCUGCUGCAUGGUGGGGGUUGGAAAGUUUCGGCGGUUGGGGAUGGACUCGCGGCUUAUCAGCUUGUUGGUGGGGUAGUGGCUUACCAAGGCUUUGACGGGUAGCCGGCCUGAGAGGGUGACCGGCCACAUUGGGACUGAGAUACGGCCCAGACUCCUACGGGAGGCAGCAGUGGGGAAUAUUGCACAAUGGGCGGAAGCCUGAUGCAGCAACGCCGCGUGCGGGAUGACGGCCUUCGGGUUGUAAACCGCUUUCGCCUGAGACGAAGCGUGAGUGACGGUAAUGGGUAAAGAAGCACCGGCUAACUACGUG